Molecule: long non-coding RNA, 1253 nt
Organism: Siniperca chuatsi (mandarin fish)
Lineage: Eukaryota; Metazoa; Chordata; Actinopteri; Centrarchiformes; Sinipercidae
Exons: 2
Source: RefSeq, a predicted model, not a curated record
UUUGGAAGAGGAUCCAGCCACGGAGGCUAGACAACGGACUCAAAGAUCUAAAUUGGUUAUGCCUCCAUAAAUGUAUGCCGGUACGAGAAACUAUGUAUAGGCAUGGGUUGGCAAGAUCCCCUGUGUGCCCGAGGGCAGCUUGUGCAGGAGAGGAGACGAUUAGGCAUGUCAUGUGGGACUGUCCAUUUGCGGGGGCGGUAUGGGAUAAAGUUGGGACAUGGCUAGGCCAGGUGAUCCCUGGGUUUCACCUGACAUGGGCUAGGGUCGAAAGAGGGGUGAGCUUAGGGAAUGGUCAGGCAAGUUUCCUCAUUUGGCUAAUUGUUAGCCUAAUCAAGAGGAGUUUGUGGUUGGCCAGGCAAGAUCUGGUGAAAAGAAAUAGAGAUAGCGGUGUGGAAGGGGUAAUAAGGAGGGUGGAAGCAGACAUAAAGGGGAGAAUUAAAAGGGACAUUUUGAAGUGGGGGAAGCAUGCCGCAUUGGAGAGGUGGAAAGGAGGGUUUGGUUGGAUAUGGUGAAAUUUAGAUUCAUGUCAAAUUGGUUUCUUUGAGAAUUUCAGUUAUGUUGGUAGGGAUGAAAUGAUGACAUGGAUUUUGUACCCACUGAAUGAUAUGAUGCAUGUAUGGUGUAUUUGAGAAACUGUUUUGGAAUUGAAACCAGUUUUUUGUAAUAAAAAAAAAAAAAAAAAAAAAAAAUCUGUUCUUAUCAGUUUAAUAUCUGAUAGGUCCUCUAUAAGGGGACGACGUAUUAAACGGAUUUUUAGCACCGGGAGCUGAAAACGGGGCUCGCUCCGCUCACUCCACGCAUCGACCCGGCACUGCAGCGCCGCCGGGAACGGUGCGCCCUUCUCCUGCCUUGUGGAAAGCCAAACGCGGAACGCGAACGGAGAGGUUCGACGCUGGACCAAAAGACUCGAGUCGGGGUGGAUGGCAUCCCUUAGGGCUGGGAGCGGUGGGAAAACCCUCUGUGGACUCACCGAUGUUCCUCGUGGAACCUCAUUGGGCCCCCAGUCUCAAAUCGCCGCGUAUCGGCCGCGACGCGGCGCAGAAUCGACCGCCAGGCGAAGCCUCCGAAAAGGCAGCCAGAUUUGCGCUUUGGAUUGGCAGGGGAUAUUGCCCCAUUGCGACCGGUAUACAAUACCUGUUGAAUGUGCCCCGCAUUUUCCCUCCCUCUCUCUCACUCGUGGCCGAGGGCUUGGCUUGCGAGAGCCUGAGUACUCCUGAUGUUAAAAGCCAGGCCCUAAUUUCUCCGCAAUCCGA